Molecule: long non-coding RNA, 2003 nt
Filed under: Xyrichtys novacula (pearly razorfish)
Lineage: Eukaryota; Metazoa; Chordata; Actinopteri; Labriformes; Labridae
Source: RNAcentral
GUGAGCUCGAGCAAAGACAAACAAACAGGUAAGUUUUACUUUGAAAUGACAAAAACUCAAAUAAAAUCAUGAUGUAGAAAAUCAAACCAUGUGAUGGUUUGUUAGCUAAAUUGUGUGCACCCAAAUUAGAAAACAACAAAAUGUGAUAAAAGUGAAUUUUAGUGAAUUUUUUGUCUGAACUGAAACAGGUGGUGGUUGAGGCCUCCACAGUGUCCACCUCUGAGAGUUUAAGACUUAAGUGGAUGUAGGCCCAGUCUCUUUGACGUCAAUCGUUGGUUUCCAAAGAGGCGUCAGCCAAUCAUGUUUCUGUACUGAAAACACUGACUGGAUGUUAUUUUGGAUCAAACUAGAAACAGACAAAGUGACGAUGCAUGUUUUUUUUUCUGCUGAAGGGUCGAAUAUUUUUAACAUGGGGCCUAAUGGGAAUUCCUAGGCUUUUUUUGUAGCUAGCUCCCAGUGGACAUUUGAGGAAUUACACCUUCAUACUGUUUUUAUUUUUUUUUACUGUUUUACCAAUUUCGCAGGGUUUCUGCGGGUUCAACAAGUCAAGUUUAAGUCUUUUAAGAUCAUAAUGAACGUAAUUAAAGAUCCAUUUUACAUCCAUACUGGCAAAAAAAUACAACAGACAAGAAGAGAAACUGAAACAUUUUAUAAUAACUUAAAUUCAGUAACAUUAAUACGUUUUUAAGACCUUUCAAAUUUGUAUUUAAGGCAUUUUAUGAGAUUUUAAGAGAAUUUUAGACAUUUAAAGGCCUUAAAUUCAAAUUAUUGAAUUUUAGACUUUUUAAGACAUUUUAAGACCCAGCGGAAACCCUGUUUAAAUGAAACAGCUUUGAACUUUUACAUGUUAUAAACUUUUCCUGAUUGUCUGCUUAAACUGUGUGACAGCUACAUGGAAAAAGAAGGACUCGGGCAUUUAGGAUGAAUUAAAAGUCAAGUUUUAAAGCGUACCAUACUGAUUAAAGUGUAUAAAUGAUACAAAGGGCUGCGUAAAUUAACUUUUAUGUAAUAUCUCAGUGAAGAAGUACAGAGAGCCUGUUAACCAAGUAUCUCUUCUCCAUUAUCACGAGUUCUUUCUUGCUCAGAAGUACUAUUAUAACUCAAAGUAUUUCCUUUUGAAAGAUAAACCGUCUUUAAUAAAGUGGUCAGCCAAUAAUUUAAAUCUUAAUUUUUCAGUUACAUGAUGGCGGCGCAAUGAUUACUCAUUUACUGCCUGUUCACACACUCAUUACUUUGCUUUCUGCUUCACUUCACCACUUAUUCACAGCCUCAGCAGCAGCUCCAACGUUAUUUAUUUCUGUAACUGAAGAAAUGUUUGGUCCACUCGACGCCCUCUGAAUGUAAAGCUGCUCUGGAGGUCUGAUGGAAGGCACCGCGCGACGCCGUGACGCCAACCCGGACUGUCAAUGCCCCGAGUCAAGGCCCCAAGGAUGAAAGAGCAAGACGCUCAAAGCCGGGAGCAUUAAUUAUUCACAAAGGAGACAGUCAUCUGGAGCAGGUAAAUACGAUUUGCUAUUCUGCUCUUGCUUUAUGCUACAGUUAAAGCUGGAGGGAGGGCGAACGCUCAUUAACAUGCACUCCUUCACUCCUUCACACGAUAAAAACCUGAAACAAACACGAUUUAAGAAGCUGAAUGAAAAAACACACAGAGGGAGGGAGAGAGAGAGAGAGAGAGAGAGAGCUCUGAAACACUCUGUAAGUGUGAACUGUUUUCAUAAACACACUCAAACUGACAGACAGACGAACACGUUUUCCCUCUAGAGAUCAAAUUUACUCUGAAUAUUUAAUCAAAUCUGACAAAUGAAAAAAACACCUAAUUAAUCUUAUGUCAUCAGACUCAUCUUGCACUCAUACAUAUGUGUUUUUUACAGGUUUAUUCUAAUCACAUCCAAUUAAAAUGUACUAGUAACAGUAUUAUUGAUGUGUUGUUAUUGUAGAUGUAAAAAUGCUGCUCGCCCACACACUCAUAAACCUCUUUUUACACCUGGAUUCACAAGUCGAAC